UGGGGAAUCUUGGACAAUGGGCGCAAGCCUGAUCCAGCCAUGCCGCGUGGAUGAUGAAGGCCCUAGGGUUGUAAAAUCCUUUCGUCAGGGACGAUAAUGACGGUACCUGAAGAAGAAGUCCCGGCUAACUUCGUGCCAGCAGCCGCGGUAAUACGAAGGGGGCUAGCGUUGUUCGGAUUUACUGGGCGUAAAGCGCGUGUAGGCGGGCUUGCAAGUUGGGGGUGAAAUCCCGAGGCUCAACCUCGGAACUGCCUCCAAAACUGCAAGCCUGGAGCAAGAUAGAGGCAAGUGGAAUUGCGAGUGUAGAGGUGAAAUUCGUAGAUAUUCGCAGGAACACCAGUGGCGAAGGCGACUUGCUGGAUCUUUGCUGACGCUGAGACGCGAAAGCGUGGGGAGCAA
Molecule: ribosomal RNA, 399 nt
Filed under: uncultured bacterium
Lineage: Bacteria
Description: bacterial SSU rRNA
Rfam family: Bacterial small subunit ribosomal RNA
Source: RNAcentral